CGCUAUCACUCCUACGGGAGGCAGCAGUGGGGAAUAUUGCACAAUGGGCGCAAGCCUGAUGCAGCCAUGCCGCGUGUAUGAAGAAGGCCUUCGGGUUGUAAAGUACUUUCAGCAGUGAGGAAGGUGGAUGCGUUAAUAGCGUAUUCAUUUGACGUUAGCUGCAGAAGAAGCACCGGCUAACUCCGUGCCAGCAGCCGCGGUAAUACGGAGGGUGCGAGCGUUAAUCGGAAUUACUGGGCGUAAAGCGCAUGCAGGUGGUUUGUUAAGUCAGAUGUGAAAGCCCGGGGCUUAACCUCGGAAUUGCAUUUGAAACUGGCAGGCUAGAGUCUUGUAGAGGGGGUAGAAUUUCAGGUGUAGCGGUGAAAUGCGUAGAGAUCUGAAGGAAUACCAGUGGCGAAGGCGGCCCCCUGGACAAAGACUGACGCUCAGAUGCGAAAGCGUGGGGAGCAAACAGGAUUAGAUACCCUGGUAG
This 472-nucleotide ribosomal RNA is filed under the name uncultured bacterium. RNAcentral describes it as "bacterial SSU rRNA". It matches the Rfam family "Bacterial small subunit ribosomal RNA", at positions 328 to 793 of the family's 1533-position model. The record is from RNAcentral.